RNAcentral lists this ribosomal RNA (254 nucleotides) under uncultured bacterium. Its description in RNAcentral is "partial 16S ribosomal RNA". It matches the Rfam family "Bacterial small subunit ribosomal RNA", at positions 524 to 776 of the family's 1533-position model. The record is from RNAcentral.
UACGUAGGGGGCAAGCGUUGUCCGGAAUCAUUGGGCGUAAAGAGCGUGUAGGCGGCUUGGUAAGUCCGCUGUGAAAGUCCAGGGCUCAACCCUGGAAUGCCGGUGGAAACUGUCAAGCUUGAGUCCGGAAGAGGCGAGUGGAAUUCCUGGUGUAGCGGUGAAAUGCGCAGAUAUCAGGAGGAACACCAAUGGCGAAGGCAGCUCGCUGGGACGGUACUGACGCUGGAGACGCGAAAGCGUGGGGAGCAAACAGG